Molecule: small RNA, 86 nt
Filed under: Escherichia coli
Lineage: Bacteria; Pseudomonadati; Pseudomonadota; Gammaproteobacteria; Enterobacterales; Enterobacteriaceae
Also listed under: 1 other name
Description: partial RtT sRNA
Rfam family: RtT RNA
About the family: This family represents a bacterial cis-regulatory element known as RtT RNA.
Source: RNAcentral
AUUCUGCCCAAGCGGGGAAGGAUGAGAAGCUUCGACCAAGGUUCGACUUGAGCGCCAGCGAGAGAGCGUUGCCGCAGGCAACGACC